Molecule: ribosomal RNA, 1216 nt
Filed under: Escherichia coli
Lineage: Bacteria; Pseudomonadati; Pseudomonadota; Gammaproteobacteria; Enterobacterales; Enterobacteriaceae
Description: partial 23S ribosomal RNA
Rfam family: Bacterial large subunit ribosomal RNA
Source: RNAcentral
AUGUUGGCCGGGCGACGGUUGUCCCGGUUUAAGCGUGUAGGCUGGUUUUCCAGGCAAAUCCGGAAAACUAAGGCUGAGGCGUGAUGACGAGGCACUACGGUGCUGAAGCAACAAAUGCCCUGCUUCCAGGAAAAGCCUCUAAGCAUCAGGUAACAUCAAAUCGUACCCCAAACCGACACAGGUGGUCAGGUAGAGAAUACCAAGGCGCUUGAGAGAACUCGGGUGAAGGAACUAGGCAAAAUGGUGCCGUAACUUCGGGAGAAGGCACGCUGAUAUGUAGGUGAAGUCCCUCGCGGAUGGAGCUGAAAUCAGUCGAAGAUACCAGCUGGCUGCAACUGUUUAUUAAAAACACAGCACUGUGCAAACACGAAAGUGGACGUAUACGGUGUGACGCCUGCCCGGUGCCGGAAGGUUAAUUGAUGGGGUCAGCGCAAGCGAAGCUCUUGAUCGAAGCCCCGGUAAACGGCGGCCGUAACUAUAACGGUCCUAAGGUAGCGAAAUUCCUUGUCGGGUAAGUUCCGACCUGCACGAAUGGCGUAAUGAUGGCCAGGCUGUCUCCACCCGAGACUCAGUGAAAUUGAACUCGCUGUGAAGAUGCAGUGUACCCGCGGCAAGACGGAAAGACCCCGUGAACCUUUACUAUAGCUUGACACUGAACAUUGAGCCUUGAUGUGUAGGAUAGGUGGGAGGCUUUGAAGUGUGGACGCCAGUCUGCAUGGAGCCGACCUUGAAAUACCACCCUUUAAUGUUUGAUGUUCUAACGUUGACCCGUAAUCCGGGUUGCGGACAGUGUCUGGUGGGUAGUUUGACUGGGGCGGUCUCCUCCUAAAGAGUAACGGAGGAGCACGAAGGUUGGCUAAUCCUGGUCGGACAUCAGGAGGUUAGUGCAAUGGCAUAAGCCAGCUUGACUGCGAGCGUGACGGCGCGAGCAGGUGCGAAAGCAGGUCAUAGUGAUCCGGUGGUUCUGAAUGGAAGGGCCAUCGCUCAACGGAUAAAAGGUACUCCGGGGAUAACAGGCUGAUACCGCCCAAGAGUUCAUAUCGACGGCGGUGUUUGGCACCUCGAUGUCGGCUCAUCACAUCCUGGGGCUGAAGUAGGUCCCAAGGGUAUGGCUGUUCGCCAUUUAAAGUGGUACGCGAGCUGGGUUUAGAACGUCGUGAGACAGUUCGGUCCCUAUCUGCCGUGGGCGCUGGAGAACUGAGGGGGGCUGCUCCUA